AUGAUUUAUUGAUUUUAUUAGUGGGUAUAGCACUGAAUAUCUAAUAUUGUUUUAGAAGGGAGUAUGAAAGUACUUACUUUGGAUAUUUAAUCUCAGAAUAACUAAGAUAAUUAGAUAAGUUAUCGGACUUUUUGCGAUAAGGUGA
This 145-nucleotide ribosomal RNA is filed under the name Pneumocystis sp. RNAcentral's name for it is "partial large subunit ribosomal RNA". Lineage: Eukaryota; Fungi; Ascomycota; Pneumocystomycetes; Pneumocystales; Pneumocystaceae. The record is from RNAcentral.